UGGCUCUCCCAUCGAUGAAGAACGCAGCGAAAUGCGAUAAGUAAUGUGAAUUGCAGAAUUCAGUGAAUCAUCGAAUCUUUGAACGCACCUUGCGCCCUUUGGUAUUCCGAAGGGCAUGCCUGUUUGAGUGUCAUUAAAUUCUCAACUUUGUUUUUUCAAAGCUUGGAUGUGAGGGCUUGCUGGCUUCCUUCAGUGGCGGUCUGCUCCCUUUAAAUGCAUUAGUGGGGAUCCUUUGUGGACGGUCACUUUGGUGUGAUAAUUUAUCUACGCCUCGUACCAUGAAACAAUCUAAUGGAAUCCUGCUCAUAACCGUCCGCAAGGACAACAUUCCUUUGACCAUUUGACCUCAAAUCAGGUAGGACUACCCGCUGA
This 372-nucleotide unclassified non-coding RNA is filed under the name uncultured fungus. RNAcentral describes it as "partial contains 5.8S ribosomal RNA and internal transcribed spacer 2". The stretch from base 1 to 133 matches the Rfam family "5.8S ribosomal RNA", at positions 22 to 154 of the family's 154-position model. The record is from RNAcentral. Lineage: Eukaryota; Fungi.